This is a long non-coding RNA of Colossoma macropomum (tambaqui), 140 nucleotides long. RefSeq lists it as uncharacterized. The record is from RefSeq and is a predicted model, not a curated record. The transcript is spliced from 3 exons. Lineage: Eukaryota; Metazoa; Chordata; Actinopteri; Characiformes; Serrasalmidae.
AGUGGAUCAGGCACAGAACUCAGAGUGGAUGUUGUGCCAUCUCAGGGUUCCAAUGUCACACCUCAGUGCUGAUUACUGUCCUCAUUACAUCUGUCAUAUUUAUUAUAUACAGAGAUCGUUGUAAGAGACCAAAACAACAG